Small nuclear RNA from Perognathus longimembris pacificus (Pacific pocket mouse), 106 nucleotides. Lineage: Eukaryota; Metazoa; Chordata; Mammalia; Rodentia; Heteromyidae. The record is from RefSeq and is a predicted model, not a curated record.
GUGCUCUUCUCAGUAGCACAUAUAUAAAACUGGAACAAUACAGAGUAGAUUAGCAUGGCACCUGAGCAAGAAUGCCAUGCAAAUUUGUGAAAUGUUCCUAAUUAAA